Molecule: ribosomal RNA, 367 nt
Filed under: uncultured organism
Description: partial 16S ribosomal RNA
Rfam family: Bacterial small subunit ribosomal RNA
Source: RNAcentral
GUAGGGUGCAAGCGUUAUCCGGAAUUACUGGGGCGUAAAGCGUACCGUAGGCGGUCUUAUGCGUCCGAUUUGAAAUCCCACGGCUCAACCGUGGAAACGGGUCGGAUACGAUUUGACUUGAGUAUGUUAGGGGAAGCCGGAAUUGACGGUGGAGGGUGAAAUCCGUUGAUAUCGUUAGGAACACCAAGGGCGAAGGCAGGCUUCUGGGGCAUCACUGACGCUAAGGGACGAAAGCUAGGGUAGCAAACCGGAUUAGAGACCCGGGUAGUCCUAGCCGUAAACGAUGGAUACUAGCUGGGCCAGUUUACUGGUCUGGCGUAAGCUAACGCGUUAAGUAUCCCGCCUGGGGAGUACGACCGCAAGGUUA